ACUCUUUUCCAAUAGCUUUCUUCACAACUUCUUUCUUCUUCUUUUUCUUAUUCGAUCGGUGACUGAUUUAAAUAUUGGAGGGGUGAUGCCGGCUAGCCAUCUAAUGAGUUGGGAAGCACAUCUAGUUUUAUGGAGCGGGGAAUCCCGAGCCGAAGGAAAAUGAGGUUCAUCAAAAGAAAAUCCUACAAAAAGCUACGAUAGAAGAUGAGCAGAAGGAGGGGAGAAGAAGAGCAGCGGAGGCAUCGACCGUCAUCUGCACAUGAGCAAAAAUGUUGAGGUUGAGGUGUCGAAGAUUUCGAAAGCUUUAAUCCACCAUUAGUACGGAGAUCUGACAACGCCUCGAGGAAGGACGAUAGAUUCAUGCCUUGGCCGUCAAAAGAGGCCUCUCCGCUUCCUCCAUCUUCGUUCAGCGAUCUCUCCUCCGGACGAGCUGCGAUAUGAAGGCAGCAUCCUCCUCUUUGGCGAUGUUGCCGUCUCUGAUAAGGGCCUCUGUAAACUCCAGGACCUUCCCUUUUCUACCCUCUUCAACAACUGCACCUCCCUCGGCGCCGUCUGACUCGACCGGGAAUUGAACGACUACUUGAUAAUUAUAAGACACAUAGGAGGGAAUGCUCGCAUCUGCUUCUCUUCGAGGUCCUCGUGAGUUUCUACCCAGUGUGGUUUUCUGUUGCAAGCACGGAAGGUGUUCGACCAAGUGCCAGGAGAUAUUCAAGAUCCUGACCAUGCUGCAACUACUGGUUCAAUGUUUAACAAAUGUGCAGCAGAUCUAAUGUGCUAUCAGGAUAUUGACCUGAUUGUUGAAGUGCUAAAAGUUAAUCAUACUGUUGUCUCUAGCAUGAUACAUCAUGCUGGAAAAAACCUUCAAUCACUUAUGUUUGGAAUUCGUUCCAAUCCUGCUUCAACAACAGAACUUUGACCCCUCUCCUAUUCCACAAUACAUUCUACGGAAGCAAAAUUCUGCUUGAAAAUUUUGAUGUUCCAUAUGACUUCACAUGGUUAUGGUCUCAGUUACAACACAGAAGGCCUCUAACCCAAUACACAAGUGUUCUGAUCAAGAAUGUUUGGAUGUUCAGGGUAUUUCAAAAUCUAGAAAGACUGCUUACCUUCCUUCCCUAGAAGGUCUGGAGGUCAAAUGGACUUGAGAACUUCAAUUUCAGGUUUAAAAUGGGUUAAUUAAAUCUUGAAAAAUCUCUUGCUGCCCCUACCAAUUUAUAUCUGGAAGCUCACUCAUGUCAUAUUACUGAAAAUGGCCAUUCAUCUUCUUCCUAUGGAAAUGUAGAUACAUCUUUUGCAAUU
Molecule: long non-coding RNA, 1296 nt
Organism: Zingiber officinale
Lineage: Eukaryota; Viridiplantae; Streptophyta; Magnoliopsida; Zingiberales; Zingiberaceae
Exons: 2
Source: RefSeq, a predicted model, not a curated record